AAUCAACGCUGGCGGCGUGCCUCAGACAUGCAAGUCGAACGCGAAAGUCCCCUUCGGGGGGCGAGUAGAGUGGCGCACGGGUGAGUAACACGUAGGUAAUCUACCUUUGGAUUGGGAAUAACCACCGGAAACGGUGGCUAAUACCGAAUAAUGCAGCGGCACCUAAUGGUGACAGUUGUUAAAGCGGGGGAUCGCAAGACCUCGCGUCUGAAGAGGAGCCUGCGGCAGAUUAGCUAGUUGGUAAGGUAACGGCUUACCAAGGCGAUGAUCUGUAGCCGGCCUGAGAGGGCGGUCGGCCACACUGACACUGACAUACGGGUCAGACUCCUACGGGAGGCAGCAGUCGGGAAUUUUGGGCAAUGGGCGAAAGCCUGACCCAGCAACGCCGCGUGAAGGAUGAAAUCCCUCGGGAUGUAAACUUCGCAAGAACGGGAAGAAUAAGUAAGAGUUAAUAUCUCU
This 459-nucleotide ribosomal RNA is filed under the name uncultured bacterium. RNAcentral's name for it is "bacterial SSU rRNA". It matches the Rfam family "Bacterial small subunit ribosomal RNA", at positions 32 to 470 of the family's 1533-position model. The record is from RNAcentral.